RNAcentral lists this unclassified non-coding RNA (1103 nucleotides) under Hevea brasiliensis (rubber tree). Lineage: Eukaryota; Viridiplantae; Streptophyta; Magnoliopsida; Malpighiales; Euphorbiaceae. The record is from RNAcentral.
UAUGGAUGCCUUGGACAUUGAGAAGUGGAAAUUUGUGAGCAAGAGUCCUGGCAAAUCAGUUGGUGCCAGUUCAAUACUUCUUGGGCUAGUGUUGGUUGGAAGAGCUGCUUUUAUAUUUCCUUUGUCCUUUAUAUCCAAUUUGACAAGGAAGUCUCAAAGUGACAAAAUUGGAUUAAAGCAGCAGGUUGUAAUAUGGUGGGCUGGGGCUGGGCUUAUGCGAGGAGCUGUAUCUAUGGCACUUGCUUAUAAUCAGUUCACCAACUCAGGGCAUACUCAAUUGCCAGGAAAUGCCAUCAUGAUAACCAGCACCAUUUCAGUUGUUCUUUUCAGUACUGUGGUAUUUGGAUUAGCAACCAAGAAUCUCAUAAGGGUAUUAUUGCCAAAGACACACUCUAGCAAUGCAGUAAUUUCUGAGUUAGCAGAUUUAGUUGAUUCAAAGUCUCUUGCUUUACCACUUCUUGGUGACGGGAAAGAUGGAGAAUCGGAAGUGGGUGGUGAUAAAAUUCCCCGUCCAACAAGUCUACGCAUGCUUCUGUAUGCUUCUGUCGACCCCUACGCGUACGUACUGUUCAUUACUACUGGCGGAAAUUUGAUGAUGCAAUCAUGCGUCCGGUGUUCGGCGGACGAGGAUUUACUCCAUAUAUUCCUGGCUCACCAGAUCUUCGUUGAUAGUAACAAAGAAGGAUAAGAAGAAGAAACAACACUGUAAAAAAAUUCAAAAUAGGUGUAAGAUUAAAGUUGUAUAAUCAUAUAUAACUAUCACCCACAAAUUGUUGUCCUCCUUAUUAAGCAAAUCCCAGAGGAAUGGAUGAAACGUGCAAGCAUUAUAACUUUAAUCUUACACCUAUUUUGAAUUUUUUUACAGUGUUGUUUCUUCUUCUUAUCCUUCUUUGUUACUAUCAACGAAGAUCUGGUGAGCCAGGAAUAUAUGGAGUAAAUCCUCGUCCGCCGAACACCGGACGCAUGAUUGCAUCAUCAAAUUUCCGCCAGUAGUAAUGAACAGUACGCGUAGGGGUCGACAGAAGCAUGCGUAGACUUGUUGGACGGGGAAUUUUAUCACCACCCACUUCCGAUUCUCCAUCUUUCCCGUCACCAAGAAGUGG